UUUUUCCGGGUUUUGAGGAUCUGCCGAAGGCUACUGCUAAAGAAGAUCGAUUAGCAUGCGAGUCUAGGGAUCUUCGGAUCCUGGCGUAAUGCUCAGUAACACGUGGAUAAUCUACCCUCAGGUGGGGCAUAAACCCGGGAAACUGGGGCCAAUUCCCCAUAAAUACAGAUGGCUGGAAUGCUUCUGUAUUCAAAGCUCCGGCGCCUGAGGAUGAGUCUGCGGCCUAUCAGGUUGUAGUCAGGGUCAAGACCUGACUAGCCAGCGACGGGUAUGGGGUGUGAGAGCACUUGCCCAGAGAUGGUUUCUGAGACACGAAACCAGGCCCUACGGGGCGCAGCAGGCGCGAAAACUUCGCAAUGCGGGAAACCGUGACGAGGGAACUCCGAGUGUCUAUGCAUUGCAUAGACUGUUUUUUAGCCUAAAUAGCUAUUAGAGUAAGGGGUGGGCAAGACCGGUGCCAGCCGCCGCGGUAACACCGGCACCCCGAGUGGUAGCCACUAUUAUUGGGCCUAAAGCGUUCGUAGCCGGUUUGGUAAAUUCUUGGGUAAAUCGUACCGGUCAACGGUGCGGAUUCCGGGGACACUACCAGACUUGAGACCGGGGGAGAUCAGAGGUACUUGCGGGGGAGCGGUGAAAUGUUGUAAUCCCGCAGGGACCACCAGUGGCGAAGGCGUCUGAUCAGAACGGCUCUGACGGUGAGGAACGAAACCCUGGGGCGCAAACGGGAUUAGAUACCCCGGUAGUCCAGGGCGUAACGCUGCUGACUUGGUGUUGGGGAUCCUACGAGGAUGUCCAGUGCUGGCGCGAAGGUAUUAAGUCAGCCGCCUGGGGAGUACGGUCGCAAGACUGAAACUAAAGGAAUGGCGGGGAGCACUGCAACCUGUCGAGCGUGCGGGUUUAAUUGGAUCACACACGCGCCGGAGAAU
Molecule: ribosomal RNA, 926 nt
Filed under: uncultured Methanolobus sp.
Lineage: Archaea; Methanobacteriati; Methanobacteriota; Methanomicrobia; Methanosarcinales; Methanosarcinaceae
Description: bacterial SSU rRNA
Rfam family: Archaeal small subunit ribosomal RNA
Source: RNAcentral